RNAcentral lists this ribosomal RNA (2017 nucleotides) under Drosophila erecta. RNAcentral describes it as "eukaryotic LSU rRNA". It matches the Rfam family "Eukaryotic large subunit ribosomal RNA", at positions 1 to 2310 of the family's 3401-position model. The record is from RNAcentral. Lineage: Eukaryota; Metazoa; Arthropoda; Insecta; Diptera; Drosophilidae.
AUUAUAACUUCAAAAUCUAGAAUUGUCUCUUAUUAAUGAUUCGGAAAUAGAAAAAACUUGGUUAUGUUAUUAUUCUUCGUUGGUUCGUUUAAUGGAAAACACUUUGCUACAAGAAAUAAUGGAAAUUUUAUAACGAAUUUAAUAAAAUGUUUUUAUCAUUAUAUAUAAAGAAUUAAUGGCAAGAAAAAGUUAUAUACAACCUCAACUCAUAUGGGACUACCUCCUGAAUUUAAGCAUAUUAAUUAGGGGAGGAAAAGAAACUAACAAGGAUUUUCUUAGUAGCGGCGAGCGAAAAGAAAACAGUUCAGCACCAAGUCACUUUGUCUAUAUGGCAAAUGUGAGAUGCAAUGUAUAGAGCGUCAAUAUUCUAGUAUGAGAAAUUAACGAUUUAGGUCCUUCUUAAAUGAGGCCAUUUACCCAUAGAUGGUGGCAGGCCCGUACAACGUUAAUGAUUACUAGAUGAUGUUUCCAAAGAGUCGUGUUGCUAAAACUAAAUAUAACCAUGAGACCGAGGGAACAACAAGUACCGUGAGGGAAAGUUGAAAAGAACUCUGAAUAGAGAGUUAAACAGUACGUGAAACUGCUUCGAGGUUAAGCCCGAUGAACCUGAAUAUCCGUUAUGGAAAAUUCAUCAUUAAAAUUGUAAUAUUUAAAUAAUAUUACGAGGAUAGUGUGCAUUUUUUCCAUAUAAGGGCAUUGUAAUCUAUUAGCAUAUACCAAAUAAUUAUCAUUGAUUUUUGUGUUUAUUAUAUGCACUUGUAUGAUUAACAAUGCGAAAGAUUCAGGAUACCUUCGGGACCCGUCUUGAAACACGGACCAAGGAGUCUAACAUAUGUGCAAGUUAUUGGGAUAUAAACCUAAUACCGUAAUUAACUUGACUAAUAAUGGGAUUAGUUUUGUAACUAUUUAUAGCACAAUCCCGGGGCGUUCUAUAUAGUUAUGUAUAAUGUUUAUUUAUAUUAUUUAUGCCUCUAACUGGAACGUACCUUGAGCAUAUAUGCUGUGACCCGAAAGAUGGUGAACUAUACUUGAUCAGGUUGAAGUCAGAGGAAACCCUGAUGGAAGACCGAAACAGUUCUGACGUGCAAAUCGAUUGUCAGAAUUGAGUAUAGGAGUGAAAGAACAAUCGAACCAUCUAGUAGCUAGUUCCUUCCGAAGUAUCCCUCAGGAUAGCUGGGUCAUUUUAAUAUUAUAUAAAAUAAUCUUAUCUUGUAAAGCGAAUGAUUAGAGGCAGAUAUCAUGAAAGGCGUUGCUUGCUUAAAACAGCAGGACGGUGAUCAUGGAAGUCGAAAACCGCUAAGGAAUUUUUGAUACUCACCUGCCGUAGCAACUAGCCCUUAAAAUGGAUGGCGCUUAAUUUGUAUACCUAUACAUUACCGCUAAAGUAGAUGAUUUAUAUUACUUGUGAUAUACAUUUUGAAACUUUAGUGAAUACGAAGGUACAAUGAUAUGCGUAGAAGUGUUUGGCGUUAGCCUGCAUGGAGCUGCCAUUGGUACAGAUCUCGGUGGUAGUAGCAAAUAAUCGAUAGAAUAAUGUAGGUAUGGGAAGUCGGCAAUUUAGAUCCGUAACUUGGGGAUAAGGAUUGGAUCUGAAGAUUUAUAUAGUCGAGCUUGAUUGGGAAACAAUAACAUGGUUUAUGUUCUCGAUCUGGGUAAAUAGAGUUUCUAGAAUUUAUGUUAGUUACUUGUUCCCCGGAUAGUUUAGUUACGUAGCCAAUUGUGGAACUGUCUUGCUAAAAUUUUUAAGAAUACUUUUUGGGGGAAACCAAUUAGUUCUUAUUAAUUAUAACGGUUAUCAAUUAACAAUCAAUUCAGAACUGGCACGGACUUGGGGAAUCCGACUGUCUAAUUAAAACAAAGCAUUGUGAUGGCCCUAGCGGGUGUUGACACAAUGUGAUUUCUGCCCAGUGCUCUGAAUGUCAAAGUGAAGUAAUUCAACGGCGGGAGUAACUAUGACUCUCUUAAGGUAGCCAAAUGCCCGGCAAGCAAGCACUCGAAUUGCUACCGGGGUGGUUGC